GAUGAACGCUGGCGGCGUGCCUAAUACAUGCAAGUCGAGCGAACAGAUAAGGAGCUUGCUCCUUUGACGUUAGUGGCGGACGGGUGAGUAACACGUGGGUAACCUACCUAUAAGACUGGAAUAACUCCGGGAAACCGGGGCUAAUGCAGGAUAACAUGUUGAACCGCAUGGUUCUACAGUGAAAGGCGGCUUUGCUGUCACUUAUAGAUGGACCCGCGCCGUAUUAGCUAGUUGGUGAGGUAACGGCUCACCAAGGCAACGAUACGUAGCCGACCUGAGAGGGUGAUCGGCCACACUGGAACUGAGACACGGUCCAGACUCCUACGGGAGGCAGCAGUAGGGAAUCUUCCGCAAUGGGCGAAAGCCUGACGGAGCAACGCCGCGUGAGUGAUGAAGGUCUUCGGAUCGUAAAACUCUGUUAUUAGGGAAGAACAAAUGCGUAAGUAACUGUGCGCGUCUUGACGGUACCUAAUCAGAAAGCCACGGCUAACUACGUG
This 497-nucleotide ribosomal RNA is filed under the name uncultured bacterium. RNAcentral describes it as "partial 16S ribosomal RNA". It matches the Rfam family "Bacterial small subunit ribosomal RNA", at positions 28 to 507 of the family's 1533-position model. The record is from RNAcentral.